Molecule: ribosomal RNA, 253 nt
Filed under: uncultured bacterium
Lineage: Bacteria
Description: partial 16S ribosomal RNA
Rfam family: Bacterial small subunit ribosomal RNA
Source: RNAcentral
UACGGAGGAUCCAGGCGUUAUCCGGAUUUAUUGGGUUUAAAGGGUGCGUAGGCGGCUUUUAAGUCAGGGUGAAAGACGGUAGCUCAACUAUCGCAGUGCCCUUGAUACUGAAGAGCUUGAAUACACUAGAGGUAGGCGGAAUGUGACAAGUAGCGGUGAAAUGCAUAGAUAUGUCACAGAACACCAAUUGCGAAGGCAGCUUACUAUGGUGAUCAUUGACGCUGAGGCACGAAAGCGUGGGGAUCAAACAGGA